Molecule: long non-coding RNA, 3514 nt
Organism: Homo sapiens (human)
Lineage: Eukaryota; Metazoa; Chordata; Mammalia; Primates; Hominidae
Source: Ensembl
ACACACACAGAGACACACCGCGACACACACACACACACGCGCGCAUACACACAGCCCGACACACACGCACGCGCGCUUCUUAAAGGAGACGGCUCAUAAAGGAUUCCCCACUACGCCAGCAGAGGGGAAGAGGAGCCCACGGGAAAGAAAAGCAGGCGAGGUUAAGAAUAAAGAGUGUUCCAGGUAUGACAGCUACCUCGGUGAGGUGGAAGAGAGAAUUGACAAGGCAAAUUUCAUGGGUGAGUUGGAAAGGCAAGAAGCAGGACUACAAGAGGUCCUAUGUGUUCCCCUUGCUGCUGCCAUGUGAAGAAGGACAUGUUUGCUUCCCCUUCUGCCAUCAUUGUUAUUCAUGUUAGGCUCCUGAAAACACCACAAGGACCUACCCUCCGGGAGCCAGCCAGAGAACCCUUCUUCCUGCACUGUCUCCGUUAUGCCCAACAUUUCUGGGCAUAAGUUUUAAUAAACCUUACCUGGGAAAAGUUUGUUUGGCCUCGUGUUAAUUGCUAUUAUAUGGAGAGCCAAGAAUCUCGAACCAGUAAGAGUUGUGAAGUCACCCUCAAUAUUUCCCAAGUCUUCAAAGGAAUUGAGACACUAUAAUCAUUACCCAGGACUCCACGCUUGUCAAAUUUGUUGAUGACCUCCUACUUUGCAACCAAACUGAAUAGAAUGCUUGUAUAGACUCCCUAAUCCUUCUGAAGGUACUGACUGAGCAAGGCUACAAAGCCUCCAAAUCUAAAUGUCCAUGGGUACAGACAACUGACUUAUUUAGGCCAUAAAGCAUCUCGGAGCACUAAAAAACUCACAGUAAAAUAUCUUGAAGGAAUUUUGACAAUCUUUUCUUAAGAAGAAAGAAAAAAAACCAGAAAUUUUUAGAGGCAGCUGGUUAUUGCCAUCAAUGGAUUCUUAAUUUUGCCAUCCUAGCCAAGCCUUUAUAUGUUUUCCUCUCAGGUAUAACCUCAGAACCCCUUUUAUGGCCCUCUGAGACACUGGCCUCCUUUGAAGCAUUAAAAUAAGCAUUAUCUACACCCCCAGCUCUCAGUUUAUCCAAUUUUGACAAACCUUUUCAACAAUAUUGCCAUGAAAUUAAUGAGAUUGUUGCUAGUAUUCUAGAACAGCCGUUUGUCUCUCAAUUACUUUUUAUGGCAUAUUUCUUAUUUCGAUCAACCCUGUGACAUCAGGCAUGCCUCCAUGCCUGUGUGCGAAAGCCACAGCUGCCACCCUAAUGGAAAAAGCCUUUAUUCUUACAUUAGGCCUCCCUACUCACCUCUAUGUUACCCUUGAUGUGUCAGCGCUCUUACAAGCUCAUAAAACACAGCACCCUCUUUAUACAAUGGCAGACCACUGAUGAACAGGACCUAUUAACAAUUCUCUCUCUAUUGUAUCAUUGUAACACCCUGAACCGUGCUAUUCUAUUACUCCUCCUUGAUGAUGGACAGCCCAUUCUAUUCUACGUGAUUCCUUUGUAGCUAUAUAAAUGGUCUCAAAACUAUGAUUUUUUAGACAUCUUCUUAGACAGUCCAGACUUCUGUUUUGUCAUGGCUGUCAAGCAGAAUUCUCACCGAUACAUAGUAACUGACUGUGCCAUGGUUUCCUUAAAUGAAACACUUGAGACAAAUUCUGCCUUCUAUAUAAUCAGCCUGAACCACUGAGUCUAGAUCUUACACGAGCCUUGGCAAAGAGAAAACUGACACUAUUUACACUUGAGAUGUGCUUUGGACUCUGCCAUACUGUUGGCUGUAUUGAAAAGUCCCGUUUCUGACCUCUGCUGGUACCCCUAUUGCCAAUGGCCAUGUAAUUGUUAACCUAUUACGCCUAUUCAUCUUCUAAUUGAGGUUGCUUUUGUUUAUUGUUGGCACAUGCCAAGGAGACUGACACUGUAUCUCUGGUAGACAAUACGUCUGACAAAGCUGCCAAACAUGAACCCCCAACUCUGGCAAUAACCCAUUUUUUAACCCAGCUUACAACCCUGCCUUUAACACUUACUGACGUCAAUAAUAUUUGGCAGAUACCCUACAAUGAAAAAAAAGGCUGCAAGAAGAUUCCAGACAAUUGUUAGAAGGAUUAUACGUUGGACCAAAUGGACUUCCUAUAGUCCUUUAUCUUUUAUUGUUUUGUGCUUCUAUUUAUUGCCCAUCAAAUGGAAUAUAUGUGUAAAGAAGGGCAAAUCAAAGAGGUAAAUGACAGUGAUUUUGCCCUGGAAUCCACAGAAUUUCUGAUCAAAUUAUUUACCAAUGUAUUACUUGUAAAUCUUAUGAUAUUUCUGGAUGUAAGUAGCAUACCCCAUGAAAUCCUCUGAGACCCACAUUCCCUUUGCAACACUCCUGGUGGACUUUAUAGAUUUCCCUCAGGAUUCAGGUUAUUCUCAUUAUAGGUUGACUAUACCUAAUCUGAAAAUCCAAAAUCUGAAAUGAUACAAAUCCAAAACGUUAUGAGUGUUGUCAUAAUGCUCAAUGGAAAUGCUCAUGAAAGCAUUUUUUAUUUAAGGUCUUUGGAUUAAGGAUGCUCAUCCAGUAAAUAUGAUACAGCUAUUCCAGUGUCCAAAACUAUCCCAAAUCUGAAACACUUCUGGUCCCACCCAAGCAUUUCAGAUAAGGAAUACUCAACUCAUAAUUGGUGAUUACCUGCACAGUUAGUAGAUGGACUGAGUACUAUCCAACUAGACAUGCUGAUGCCACAUGGUAGUAAUGAAAAAAAAAAUUGAGAUUAUUCUUCAUUUUGGCAUUACUUAAUGUAUUAAAUCAGACCAAGGAACUCACUUAACAACAGAAGUAAAUCACAUGUUCACAAAAACUCUAGGAUAGUCAUUAAAAUUCUAUACUCUUUACCAUCCUCAGUCCUCAGAGAGGUGGAAUGUGAUAAUUUAGACAGCAAAAGAACUAUAAAAUAUGUCAGUACAAUAGACCUAAGUGGCCAGAAGCAUCACCCCUGACCCCAAUAAAAUCUGGAAAACCCCAAACAAGAGAGAUGGAUUAACUGCUUUUUGAAUAAUUUUUGAUAGCUUUAUGCCUAUUAGCAUCUCCAAACUUUUUGUUCCUGAAGUGAGUGAGCAUUAUGGGGACCUGAGUGAAAGGUUCAGUAUUAUGACUAGAUAUCUAAAAGAACUAUCUCUUGUACUUGGAGCUUACCAUUAACAGGCAAAAAAGUCAUGGCCAUUGUCUACCAACAAGCUUUCUAUCCCUUUUGACCAAGCUAUCAAGUAUACAUCAAAAUUUUGACAAGAAAGCAUACACUGUCAUCUUUCUGGGAAGUACCUUGUGAAGCAUUGCUGAACACCUACAUGGCCAUCAAAAUAAAAAGAAAUAUUUCCUGGAUUCAUGCAAGUCAUGCCAAGCUAGACCCAGAUCAUAAUUUCCAGAAAAAUUGAAAAGCUAUUCUUACAGCUGACUUCAAACCAAGGAUUUUCAGGGCCAAUUCACAGGGUCCCAAAGCAGAUGACAACAUAAAGUGGACUAUUUUUUCCAAUAUCUUGGAUCAAGAACUACCUUUCCACCUAUUUUCCCUUGAUAUCUUUCUC